This 96-nucleotide signal recognition particle RNA is filed under the name Actinomycetaceae bacterium. Its description in RNAcentral is "signal recognition particle sRNA small type". It matches the Rfam family "Bacterial small signal recognition particle RNA". Rfam says of the family: The signal recognition particle (SRP) is a universally conserved ribonucleoprotein involved in the co-translational targeting of proteins to membranes. Archaeal SRP consists of a 7S RNA and homologues of the eukaryotic SRP19 and SRP54 proteins. Lineage: Bacteria; Bacillati; Actinomycetota; Actinomycetes; Actinomycetales; Actinomycetaceae. The record is from RNAcentral.
GGUGGCUCUUCACGCGACACUACCAUGUGAACCUCCCCAGGGUCGGAAGGCAGCAAGGAUAAGCAUGCUCUUGUGGGUGCGUGAAGGGUCUUUAUU